CGCAUUUAUUAGAUAAAAAGCCAGUUCAUGCUUUUAUAGUAUGAAAAUUGGUGAUUUAUAAUAACUUAGCAAAUCGCAAAGUGAAAACAGGCGAUAAAUCAUUCAAGUUUCUGACCUAUCAGCUUUCGACGGUAUGGUAUUGGCUUACCGUGGCAGUGACGGUUAACGGGGGAUUAGGGUUCGAUUCCGGAGAGGGAGCCUGAGAAACGGCUACCACAUCUAAGGAAGGCAGCAGGCGCGCAAAUUACCCAAUUCUAACAGUUUGAGAGAGGUAGUAACAAGAAAUAACAAUACAAGGCAGUUAAAAUGCUUUGUAAUUGGAAUGAUAGAAAUUUAAACCCUUUUUAAAGUAUCAAUUGGAGGGCAAGUCUGGUGCCAGCAGCCGCGGUAAUUCCAGCUCCAAUAGCGUAUAUUAAAAUUGUUGCAGUUAAAAAGCUCGUAGUUGAAGUUCUGCUGAAAGUAACCGGUCUGCUUUUAAUAAAAGUGGUAUCUUGGUAUGUAUUUAGCAAUGAUGUCCUUUGAAGUGUUUUUUACUUUAUUGUAAUAAAGCAUAUUCAGGACUUUUACUUUGAGAAAAUUAGAGUGUUUCUAGCAGGCUAACGCUUUGAAUACUGCAGCAUGAAAU
This 625-nucleotide ribosomal RNA is filed under the name Hepatozoon canis. RNAcentral's name for it is "bacterial SSU rRNA". It matches the Rfam family "Eukaryotic small subunit ribosomal RNA", at positions 202 to 815 of the family's 1831-position model. The record is from RNAcentral. Lineage: Eukaryota; Apicomplexa; Hepatozoidae.